GGGCUGGUAGAUCAGACUGGUAGAUUGCUUCGUUCGCAAAAUUUUAAUUCGAAAUAUGAAGAGGCCGCGGGUUCGAAUCCCGCUCAGUCCA
RNAcentral lists this transfer RNA (91 nucleotides) under Candidatus Heimdallarchaeota archaeon LC_2. RNAcentral describes it as "tRNA-Ala". It matches the Rfam family "tRNA". From Rfam's summary of the family: Transfer RNA (tRNA) molecules are approximately 80 nucleotides in length. Their secondary structure includes four short double-helical elements and three loops (D, anti-codon, and T loops). Lineage: Archaea; Promethearchaeati; Candidatus Heimdallarchaeota. The record is from RNAcentral.